UUCGCACCCCCCAAGCUGACCGACGAGGACUUCUCGCCAUUUGGCUCUGGAGGUGGCCUGUUCAGUGGGGGCAAGGGGCUCUUUGAUGAUGAGGAUGAGGAGAGUGACCUCUUCACGGAAGCCCCCCAGGAUUGGCAAGCUGGAGCCUCUGUUAAGGAGGAGUCUUCAUCAUCCAAACCUGGAAAGAAAAUCCCAGCAGGAGCUGUUUCUGUAUUUUUAGGAGACACGGAUGUGCUGCCUCCGUUCCAUCAAUGAAGGAGCCACAGAAGCCUGAGCAGCCCACUCCAAGGAAAAGCCCCUACCUUCCCCCUCCCACUGGCCUCUUUGAUGAUGAUGAUGGUGAUGAUGAUGACGACUUUUUCUCGACACCCCACAGCUAGCCUUCCAAAACAGGCAAAGUCCAAUCCACUGCUGAUAUCUUUGGUGACGAAGAAGGAGAUCUGUUCAAAGAAAAAGCCGUAGCAUUGCCAGAAGCCACUGUGAGUCAGACAGAUGAAAAUAAAGCAAGAGCAGAAAAAAAGGUUACCUUACCUUCCAGCAAAAAUCUCAAGCCCUCGUCAGAAACAAACACUCAAAAAGGCUUAUUUUAGGAUCAGGAGGACUCUGAGGAUUUGUUUUCUUCUCAAAGUGCGAGUAACUUAAAAGGUGCAUCUCUGCUGCCUGGCAAGCUCCCCACGUCGGUUUCCCUGUUUGAUGAUGAAGAUGAAGAGGAUAAUCUUUUUGGGCGUACAGCUGCUAAGAGGCAGACAUUGUGUCUACAAGCUCAGAGAGAAGAGAAAGCAAAAGCCUCCGAGCUCUCCAAAAAGAAAGCAUCUGCCCUGUUGUUCAGCAGUGAUGAGGAGGACCGGGCGCAGUGGCUCACGCCUGUCAUGCCAGCACUUUGGGAGGCCAAGAGGAACGGAUCACUUG
Long non-coding RNA from Homo sapiens (human), 909 nucleotides. Ensembl annotates it as family with sequence similarity 21, member A pseudogene. Its record names the gene FAM21EP. The record is from Ensembl. Lineage: Eukaryota; Metazoa; Chordata; Mammalia; Primates; Hominidae.